RNAcentral lists this ribosomal RNA (492 nucleotides) under uncultured bacterium. RNAcentral's name for it is "partial 16S ribosomal RNA". It matches the Rfam family "Bacterial small subunit ribosomal RNA", at positions 29 to 507 of the family's 1533-position model. The record is from RNAcentral.
AGUGAACGCUGGCGGUAGGCCUAACACAUGCAAGUCGAACGGCAGCACAGUAAGAGCUUGCUCUUACGGGUGGCGAGUGGCGGACGGGUGAGGAAUACAUCGGAAUCUACUUUUUCGUGGGGGAUAACGUAGGGAAACUUACGCUAAUACCGCAUACGACCUACGGGUGAAAGCAGGGGAUCUUCGGACCUUGCGCGAUUGAAUGAGCCGAUGUCGGAUUAGCUAGUUGGCGGGGUAAAGGCGCACCAAGGCGACGAUCCGUAGCUGGUCUGAGAGGAUGAUCAGCCACACUGGAACUGAGACACGGUCCAGACUCCUACGGGAGGCAGCAGUGGGGAAUAUUGGACAAUGGGCGCAAGCCUGAUCCAGCCAUACCGCGUGGGUGAAGAAGGCCUUCGGGUUGUAAAGCCCUUUUGUUGGGAAAGAAAAGCAGCAGGUUAAUACCCCGCUGUUCUGACGGUACCCAAAGAAUAAGCUCCGGCUAACUUCGUG